AGUGAACGCUGGCGGUAGGCCUAACACAUGCAAGUCGAACGGCAGCACAGUAAGAGCUUGCUCUUACGGGUGGCGAGUGGCGGACGGGUGAGGAAUACAUCGGAAUCUACUUUUUCGUGGGGGAUAACGUAGGGAAACUUACGCUAAUACCGCAUACGACCUACGAGUGAAAGCAGGGGAUCUUCGGACCUUGCGCGAUUGAAUGAGCCGAUGUCGGAUUAGCUAGUUGGCGGGGUAAAGGCCCACCAAGGCGACGAUCCGUAGCUGGUCUGAGAGGAUGAUCAGCCACACUGGAACUGAGACACGGUCCAGACUCCUACGGGAGGCAGCAGUGGGGAAUAUUGGACAAUGGGCGCAAGCCUGAUCCAGCCAUACCGCGUGGGUGAAGAAGGCCUUCGGGUUGUAAAGCCCUUUUGUUGGGAAAGAAAAGCAGCAGGUUAAUACCCCGCUGUUCUGACGGUACCCAAAGAAUAAGCACCGGCUAGCUUCGUG
RNAcentral lists this ribosomal RNA (492 nucleotides) under uncultured bacterium. Its description in RNAcentral is "partial 16S ribosomal RNA". It matches the Rfam family "Bacterial small subunit ribosomal RNA", at positions 29 to 507 of the family's 1533-position model. The record is from RNAcentral.